GAGGAUUUAGUAGUAAAUUAAGA
RNAcentral lists this non-coding RNA (23 nucleotides) under Cricetulus griseus (Chinese hamster). RNAcentral also lists the same sequence under 1 other name. The record is from RNAcentral. Lineage: Eukaryota; Metazoa; Chordata; Mammalia; Rodentia; Cricetidae.